UAGAAGUAUUGGCCAAGAUAUAUUAGGGUGAUGCUGGUUUAAAGAUAUGUGAAGCAAUUGCUGAUGUGCCCUUGAACUGCCUUGUCAUGGGAAGUAGAGGACUCAUUGGAGUUAAAAGGGCUCUUCUGGGGAGUGUUAGCCGCUAUGUCGCCAACCACGCAGUGUGUCCUGUAACUAUCAUCAAGGACUCUCAAUCUCGUCGUUAAAUCAACUUCCAUGCAUGGAUG
Telopea speciosissima is the source of this 227-nucleotide long non-coding RNA. RefSeq lists it as uncharacterized. The record is from RefSeq and is a predicted model, not a curated record. The transcript is spliced from 3 exons. Lineage: Eukaryota; Viridiplantae; Streptophyta; Magnoliopsida; Proteales; Proteaceae.